Anneissia japonica is the source of this 759-nucleotide long non-coding RNA. RefSeq lists it as uncharacterized. The record is from RefSeq and is a predicted model, not a curated record. The transcript has 4 exons. NCBI's taxonomy places the organism in Eukaryota, Metazoa, Echinodermata, Crinoidea, Comatulida, Comatulidae.
GAGUAAUACUCUUUACAGCAUAGGCACUGCGUAGGGCCUAGAUCUACUUGAGAAAAUUUAAUUUUCUGAAACUUCAGAUCGUGAGAUGGUAUCGGAUAAUAACACUUGAUGGCUCGAGGUAAAGUGGCGUUUUAAAUAUAAACAUUACUCAAUGGACUACGAAGGAGACUUUACAAUUAAUAACAAAUCUCAAGACAGACAGUAUAUAUAUUUAUAUUGGACCUCAUUGGAAAUGGGCUGGACUCCGGCCUAAUGGGCGUUCCUGAUGCUCAUUACGUGAUGUAGACAAAGAAGCCACAACUAUCAGGAAAGAAUGUCAGGACUCAAUCGUGAAAGAGCAACAGAACUUACCAAUGAGGCCUAUUCAUAGGUAGCCAAAAAUUGUGUCACUCAUCAAGCUUCCUGCAAAAAUUAUGGAUAUGAAAUUAAUUAAAAUAUAGUGUAAAUUUUAUUUUUUUAAAGUUUUCCUCUGCAAUAAUCUCAAAAAUAAUGCUAGCAAUAUGUAGUAAUUCUUGUAGCAUUUAUGUUUAUUAAUAUUGUAUUAUUACUGCUAAUGUUUAUGUUAUUAAUAGAGAAAAAAACCCGUUUGUUGUAAAGAAAAUCUAGACAUGUAAGAUAAUAGGAUAUAACAUUUGAGGAUUAAAUUCAGAUUUAUUGAUUUUUGCCGGAUGUACAUGAUAUAGGCCUAUAGUAUAUAAAUAUAAAAUGUAUAUAUAUCACAACUUUAUUUUAAUGCUUGAAAAUAAAUAUUAAAUGGAA